Molecule: ribosomal RNA, 253 nt
Filed under: uncultured bacterium
Lineage: Bacteria
Description: partial 16S ribosomal RNA
Rfam family: Bacterial small subunit ribosomal RNA
Source: RNAcentral
UACGUAGGGGGCAUGCGUUAUCCGGAUUUACUGGGUGUAAAGGGAGCGUAGACGGCAUAGCAAGUCUGAAGUGAAAGCCCGUGGCUCAACCGCGGAACUGCUUUGGAAACCGUUAAGCUGGAGUACUGGAGAGGCAAGCGGAAUUCCUAGUGUAGCGGUGAAAUGCGUAGAUAUUAGGAGGAACACCAGUGGCGAAGGCGGCUUGCUGGACAGAGACUGACGUUGAGGCUCGAAAGCGUGGGGAGCAAACAGG